This 318-nucleotide long non-coding RNA is filed under the name Arabidopsis lyrata. RNAcentral's name for it is "long non-coding RNA (ALYR_LNC002159)". The record is from RNAcentral. Lineage: Eukaryota; Viridiplantae; Streptophyta; Magnoliopsida; Brassicales; Brassicaceae.
GUGGGAUUCUUGUGGAUGUUAGUUGCGGAAGCGGUUUGUUUUCCCGCAAAUUUGCAAAGUCUGGCAAAUACUCUGGCGUGAUUGCUCUCGACUAUUCUGAAAACAUGCUUCGUCAAUGCAAAGAAUUCAUCAAAAAUGAUAAUACUUUUGACAACUCAACUAAUAUAGCAGUAGUGAGAGCAGAUGUUUCUCGCCUCCCUUUCCCAUCGGGUUCUGUUGACGCGGUUCAUGCCGGUGCUGCUUUGCACUGUUGGCCUUCUCCUACAAAUGCUGUAAGUUCUUGAAUUUGUCAGAGCUUCAUGAGUGUUGCAAAAUGCA